UCCUUCUCUUAUCAUGCAAGCUCAUCCACACUCCCCCUCAAGCUUGAGACCGAGUAUAGGAAAGGUCCAAGCUUGAUAGUGAGCGCAUGUUAGCUCCAUGAUAAGCCUUGUGGAGAGCACCUCCAUCUCUUUCAGACUUGAUGCUUGAAUCCUCCACUACAUCACCAUUGCACUGAGGAGAUACCUCAGCCCACUCUCCAAGCAUCUCACACUAGCUUGUUGAGUGACUUUCUUCUUCCCUCCACUUCGGCUGGAUCACUCCAUGAUCAGCUUGCAAUGGCCUUGACUAACACAGGUCAUUGAGCAACAGGAUCAUCAGGUGGCUCACUUUGCUCCCCUCCUCAAGCUUGGAUUGAGUAUGGGUCCAAGCUUGAAGUGAGCCUCAAUGAGCCUUAAGAUCAGGAGCGCAACAUCUCAUAGAGUGCGCUUCAACCACUGAUCAACCCUUCCCUUUAUCUCCAAUGCCUUCUGGUCACCGGUCUCCUCUAGACUUAGGUGAUGACCACUCGCCUUGUGUAUCCACACACACACCACAGCGACCAUUCCCAAUGGGUAAAGUCUUCCUCUUCUGCUCGGAUUGGUGAUGGACAGAGAGCACAUCUUGUGAACCUGAAACAUCACUCAAACUCCAGCAAAGAUAAGACACAAGCAUUGGGAUCAAUCCUUGACUAAUCAUCAAGUUUGAUCUCCAAUGUCACAAGCUAUGCAACAGAUUGAAACAAGCAUUAUCAAGUUCACAUCUUUGCAAGCAAUCUCUCUAAGUACAAGCAAGAUCAAAUCAGAUUCAAGACAAGCUACUUAGGCAAUCAACCCUGCCUUAAUCCGCAAUCAUAGACAUCCAUCUAUGUGCUCAAUGUUAAGGCAGCAACAAGAUGACAAUAUGCUGUGACCUUAAUCAGUUUCUAGCUCAUGUAUGCAAUAAGAUCAGCCAAUGCUUUCUAUUAUCCUAACACACAUCACUUAUAACUGAGGCAAAGCAAUAUUAAUCAUCAAUCAACAUCAGACAAUGCAAAACCUUAAGUGAUUUCAGUUUAAUGAAAGCUAAUAGGAUUUAGACAGUUUCUAACAUCCUAGCACAAUCAUAACCAAACCGGGUAAGCAUUUUAUUUCUCAACAUCAAACAAGACUCUUAAAGCAUCCUGGGACUGAACUAGACAAUAUAAUAUAGCAUUUCAUAUCAAGAACCCACGGAUUGCAACACUACACAACACAACACACAACCAGUUUCAAUCACAAGCUCAUAUCAAGAAGGUUUAGGAUUAGCUUACAACCAAGGAACCUGAGCUGGUUCCUUGAGCCUCCUUGGUUAUAGGUCACGAAUCUGAUGGGUAAGAGAGCUGGAUCGUCACCCAACACCCUCUCCUUGUGUUCAUAACCUUCUCCUUGAAACCACAACUCAAAAGGCUCCACCUUUCUUCACAGCUCCAAGUCACCAACUUCAGGAACAAGGGGAAAGCUUUCUUCUUGAAUGGUUUCAGCUUGGACCAGAGUUGAGACACACCUUUAAUGGACUGGAGAGAGGAGGCACGACCAUGAUAAACCUCCUUGGCUUCAUACACCUUCUUCUUGAAGAGAGAGAACCAAAAGGACAGAUCUUCAAUGGCUUGGAUUUGAGAUGAGACUAGGCUUGUGAUGUAUAUGCGGAAGCUGGAACCAAGUUCUGAUGAACCUGGCUCUGAUACCAUGUUAGGUUUUCAGAGCUCAGGCUGUGUGUGUGAGAAGAAGCCACUAAGGGCGAAAUGAGAGCUUGAACUGAAGAGAGAAAGGUCUGAUGAAGAACAGUAUGAACUUGGACAGAAACAAGAGAUUUAGAGAGAUUAAGAGAUUUAAGUAUAAGAAAGGGGUAGUUUGAGGGAUUCUUAUCCAAGAACACACUUUGUAUUAUGAAGGAGGAGGGGAAAUCCCCCUCUCUCUCUUGAGAGACACAAAAACGUCCAUACAUAGCUUAUUUAUAAGCUUUACACAUUGCAAACUCAUAAACCCUUAAUCUAAUGGAUAGAAAUGACUGAAUUGAAAUAGUGGCUAGGAUGGAGUCUGGUGGGUUGCUGAGGACGUGAUGGAUGCUGAUUGUAUGAUUCAAACUGGUCAAAGCAAGGGCUGGCUCCUGAUUGGUUCCCUUAAGGCUCCCAUGAACCUUAUUCACAAAGAUGGCUAGAUACAUGGUCAAGGCUGCUUUUCCUUUACAGCUCAAAGACAGCCUGUCAUUGACCACGCCCUAGCUCUCCCUUAUCCACAAACAGUCACAAGAUAACUCAGGUUUGUCUUCUCUUGCGCCCUAAGUUUGCACAGCUUCAUUUCAGGUUGAUCCGGAACAAGUACGGUCGAUGGUACGGACCGCCUGUCCGUACCUCUCCUUAUUUUUGCACCAACUCCCAAUCUUCUCAAAUGGUUGAGUCUGAACAUGAUCUUGGUUGCCCUAAGUUCGUACGGUCCGUACCAUCCGUACCGAUGCUCGACCCUAUUUCUGCACCAUCACCCAACUGACUCCAAAUGGUGUCUAAGUAUGUCUAAGUCCCUCCUGGACUUGACCCUAACUUUGCACACCUCAUUUGGAUACUUCUGGACACUCAUGAACACUCCUAAAGCCUUGAUAGACAAUCUCCGGAGGUCUUGCCCUAUUCUUGCUCAAGACCCAAACUCAACCCAACUCCUCCAUUGGCUCCAUUUCUUUCUUCAAGUCAACACUCCCCCUCAAGCUUGACUCUAGGUGAUCCUAAGCCAAGCUUGGAACCUUGAAGAACUCUCUCGUUAAAAACCUCACCAAGGAAAACCCUUUGGGACAAAACCUUGAUGAGGGAAAAAGAGUAGAGCCUUCAAAGCCUAGGGAUUGGCCAGUGAGCCUAUGUGCCUUAGUAUCACUGAGGUUUAGGCACAUAGGCUCUGGAUCACGGCCUCUUCACUUCACCACACCUUCUUAGACUCUUCUAUAGAACCGGCGUAGUGUCUCCCCCUUUCACCUGACUUCAUGCCAUCUUGAAAGGCUAGGAACGACCUGAUCCUCUCCAUUGAGUCUCCAAGUAAGGUACCUGAUACAUCAUUCCACAAGUGUAUCAGUUCUCAAGAGAUAAACCUAUCAUGAAUGAAUAUAAAGAGAUUGAUCAGGUUUACUCCCUUGUUUAAAUGUUGUGGAGUGGCUGCUCUUCACACACCACUUGAAUCCCUCACUUGCUGAGCUUAACAGCUCCUUCUCUUAUCAUGCAAGCUCAUCCACACUCCCCCUCAAGCUUGAGACCGAGUAUAGGAAAGGUCCAAGCUUGAUAGUGAGCGCAUGUUAGCUCCAUGAUAAGCCUUGUGGAGAGCACCUCCAUCUCUUUCAGACUUGAUGCUUGAAUCCUCCACUACAUCACCAUUGCACUGAGGAGAUACCUCAGCCCACUCUCCAAGCAUCUCACACUAGCUUGUUGAGUGACUUUCUUCUUCCCUCCACUUCGGCUGGAUCACUCCAUGAUCAGCUUGCAAUGGCCUUGACUAACACAGGUCAUUGAGCAACAGGAUCAUCAGGUGGCUCACUUUGCUCCCC
Molecule: long non-coding RNA, 3520 nt
Filed under: Brassica napus (rape)
Lineage: Eukaryota; Viridiplantae; Streptophyta; Magnoliopsida; Brassicales; Brassicaceae
Description: long non-coding RNA (BNAP_LNC013706)
Source: RNAcentral